Molecule: long non-coding RNA, 1249 nt
Organism: Astatotilapia calliptera (eastern happy)
Lineage: Eukaryota; Metazoa; Chordata; Actinopteri; Cichliformes; Cichlidae
Source: Ensembl
CUGCCGCAAGACUCUCUUUCACCUAUUUCUUGCAGGUUGAAGCCAGGUGAUUGGAUCCUUGUUCGAGUACUCCAAAGGAAAAAUUGGAGCUCACCACGGUGGGAGGGGCCAUUUCAAGUGCUUCUGACCACUCCAACUAAUGGACACGCUAAUGUAGAUGAUGGUGGUGGUGGGUCUGGGUGUGAACCACGACUGUUGCACCCUUUUUCAGAGCCAUGAUCAGAUCUUCCUGGAUGAAAAUCUAUUUCAUGCUCAGCUAACAGCGUUUGUGCGUCCCUGUAUGCAUUGUCAAGUUUAAUUUUCCUAUGUCUUAGCCACAUGGGAGAUCAUUCAAAAUGAGGUUUUGAUGUAAUGCUGGCUGUUUCUCCUAUAGUUGGUGCGGAAAAGUUAACGGAGGGGUCUAAAAGAGAGUUAUGUGGGUCUGUUAAUGGAGGUCUUUGUUCAGUACAUGCUUGUUUUGUAGUUUCAUCAUCAGGGGUUAUUAAAGCUGCUGCUAAUUGUUUUUUCUUUUCCUCUUUUUUUAUUUUAUUUUCAGUUCUCCUUUCAGUUUCACUUUUCCAUGCUUGGAAAAACCUAUACUCUUCCUUACGUUUUAAUUUCUUUUUUGGGUCUUUUGUUAAUGUAAUCUCUUGUUUUAGGACAGCUCCCAGCUGGGUAACAGCUGAGGGGCUGCAUUUCCCUUUCCAGUUACAGCUUUUUGUUUUUCGUGGAUUUCUCCACCUAUUUGCGCUUAUCUGUCCGGCGCUUGGACAUGUCUUUUCUAGCCACUGCUCGUCAGCAGUGAGUUUAAUGGGCUGAUUCCCCAUUUUCACAGAACUGCAAAGCAUUCUCUGGCACGCUCGACUCAGGAAUGGUUUACUGAUACGGCCUUCGACUUCACCCUAACGGUGAAGCGGUAUCAGUUUUAUGAGAUGAAACUCAACCUUUUUCCUUUGUCACCAUGACAUGGGCUCUUGCAGGAUACACAAAAAUGGAAGUAGUUCAGCAAUUUAUUGUGCUGUAAAAUCAACUUACUUCCAGACACACACACAUAUAUGGACAUUUGCGCGCUUUUACAAUUUGUCACGAAGUAAUUUCAGCUACUUCUAAAACUGGUUGAAACACAGUUCCUUUUGGCGAACUUAAACCUAAUUUGUCACGAGAUAAUUUCAGCUACUUCUAAAACUGGUUGAAACACAGUUCCUUUUGGCGAACUUAAACCUAAUUUGUCACGAGAUAAUUUCAGCUACCUCUAAAACUGGUCGAAACA